GAUCCAGACUCCUACGGGAGGCAGCAGUGGGGAAUAUUGCGCAAUGGGCGAAAGCCUGACGCAGCGACGCCGCGUGAGGGAUGAGGGUCUUCGGAUCGUAAACCUCUGUCAGCAGGGAAGAACGGUCACUGUGCUAAUCAGCAGUGAAUUGACGGUACCUGCAAAGGAAGCACCGGCUAACUCCGUGCCAGCAGCCGCGGUAAUACGGAGGGUGCGAGCGUUAAUCGGAAUUACUGGGCGUAAAGCGCUCGUAGGCGGUAUGUCAAGUCAAGGGUGAAAUCCCCGCGCUCAACGUGGGAACUGCCUUUGAAACUGUAGAGCUUGAGUGUCGGAGAGGGUGGCGGAAUUCCAGGUGUAGGAGUGAAAUCCGUAGAUAUCUGGAGGAACACCGGUGGCGAAGGCGGCCACCUGGACGACAACUGACGCUGAGGUGCGAAAGCGUGGGUAGCAAACAGGAUUAGAUACCCGGGUAC
Molecule: ribosomal RNA, 473 nt
Filed under: uncultured bacterium
Lineage: Bacteria
Description: bacterial SSU rRNA
Rfam family: Bacterial small subunit ribosomal RNA
Source: RNAcentral